AACGAACGCUGGCGGCAUGCCUAACACAUGCAAGUCGAACGAGACCUUCGGGUCUAGUGGCGCACGGGUGCGUAACGCGUGGGAACCUGCCCUUAGGUUCGGAAUAACUCCCCGAAAGGGGUGCUAAUACCGGAUAAUGUCUUCGGACCAAAGAUUUAUCGCCUUUGGAUGGGCCCGCGUUGGAUUAGCUAGUUGGUAGGGUAAAAGCCUACCAAGGCGACGAUCCAUAGCUGGUCGGAGAGGAUGAUCAGCCACACUGGGACUGAGACACGGCCCAGACUCCUACGGGAGGCAGCAGUGGGGAAUAUUGGACGAUGGGCGAAAGCCUGAUACAGCCAUGCCGCGUGAGUGAUGAAGGCCUUAGGGUUGUAAAGCUCUUUUACCCGGGAUGAUAAUGACAGUACCGGGAGAAUAAGCGCCGGCUAACUCCGUG
RNAcentral lists this ribosomal RNA (433 nucleotides) under uncultured bacterium. Its description in RNAcentral is "partial 16S ribosomal RNA". It matches the Rfam family "Bacterial small subunit ribosomal RNA", at positions 29 to 507 of the family's 1533-position model. The record is from RNAcentral.